RNAcentral lists this ribosomal RNA (694 nucleotides) under uncultured bacterium. Its description in RNAcentral is "bacterial SSU rRNA". It matches the Rfam family "Bacterial small subunit ribosomal RNA", at positions 107 to 816 of the family's 1533-position model. The record is from RNAcentral.
UGAGUAACGCGUGAGCAACCUGCCUUUCAGUGGGGGACAACAGUUGGAAACGACUGCUAAUACCGCAUAAAGUAUUGAGAUCGCAUGAUUUUGAUACCAAAGAUUUAUUGCUGAAAGAUGGGCUCGCGUCUGAUUAGCUAGAUGGCGGGGUAACGGCCCACCAUGGCGACGAUCAGUAGCCGGUCUGAGAGGAUGAACGGCCACAUUGGGACUGAGAUACGGCCCAGACUCCUACGGGAGGCAGCAGUGGGGAAUAUUGGGCAAUGGGGGAAACCCUGACCCAGCAACGCCGCGUGAAGGAAGAAGGCCUUCGGGUUGUAAACUUCUUUUACCAGGGACGAAGGACGUGACGGUACCUGGAGAAAAAGCAACGGCUAACUACGUGCCAGCAGCCGCGGUAAUACGUAGGUUGCAAGCGUUGUCCGGAUUUACUGGGUGUAAAGGGCGUGUAGGCGGAGGAGCAAGUCAGAUGUGAAAUCCCGGGGCUUAACCCCGGAACUGCAUUUGAAACUGUUCCCCUUGAGUAUCGGAGAGGCAAGCGGAAUUCCUAGUGUAGCGGUGAAAUGCGUAGAUAUUAGGAGGAACACCAGUGGCGAAGGCGGCUUGCUGGACGACAACUGACGCUGAGGCGCGAAAGCGUGGGGAGCAAACAGGAUUAGAUACCCUGGUAGUCCACGCUGUAAACGAUGAAUAC